GGUGAGGCACAGGCUGCCCAGAGAAGUUGUGGAUGCCCCAUCCCUGGAAAUUGUUCAAGGCCGGGCUGGAUGGUGCUCUGAGCAACGUGAUCUAGUGAGAGAUGUCCCUGCCCAUGGCAGGGGGUGAAAUGGGAUGAGC
Molecule: long non-coding RNA, 139 nt
Organism: Corapipo altera (White-ruffed manakin)
Lineage: Eukaryota; Metazoa; Chordata; Aves; Passeriformes; Pipridae
Exons: 3
Source: RefSeq, a predicted model, not a curated record